AUUGAACGCUGGCGGCAGGCCUAACACAUGCAAGUCGAGCGGAUGAAGGGAGCUUGCUCCUGGAUUCAGCGGCGGACGGGUGAGUAAUGCCUAGGAAUCUGCCUGGUAGUGGGGGAUAACGUCCGGAAACGGGCGCUAAUACCGCAUACGUCCUGAGGGAGAAAGUGGGGGAUCUUCGGACCCCACGCUAUCAGAUGAGCCUAGGUCGGAUUAGCUAGUUGGUGGGGUAAAGGCCUACCAAGGCGACGAUCCGUAACUGGUCUGAGAGGAUGACCAGUCACACUGGAACUGAGACACGGUCCAGACUCCUACGGGAGGCAGCAGUGGGGAAUAUUGGACAAUGGGCGAAAGCCUGAUCCAGCCAUGCCGCGUGUGUGAAGAAGGUCUUCGGAUUGUAAAGCACUUUAAGUUGGGAGGAAGGGCAGUAAGUUAAUACCUUGCUGUUUUGACGUUACCAACAGAAUAAGCACCGGCUAACUUCGUG
RNAcentral lists this ribosomal RNA (484 nucleotides) under uncultured bacterium. RNAcentral describes it as "partial 16S ribosomal RNA". It matches the Rfam family "Bacterial small subunit ribosomal RNA", at positions 30 to 507 of the family's 1533-position model. The record is from RNAcentral.